This 256-nucleotide ribosomal RNA is filed under the name uncultured bacterium. Its description in RNAcentral is "partial 16S ribosomal RNA". It matches the Rfam family "Bacterial small subunit ribosomal RNA", at positions 524 to 776 of the family's 1533-position model. The record is from RNAcentral.
UACGAAGGGUGCAAGCGUUGCUCGGAAUUAUUGGGCGUAAAAGGGUAGGUAGGUGGUUUGGUAAGUCUUAUGUGAAAUCUACAGGCUCAACUUGUAGUCUGCAUGAGAAACUGCCGGGCUUGAGUAUGGGAGAGGUGAGUGGAAUUCCUGGUGUAGCGGUGAAAUGCGUAGAUAUCAGGAGGAACACCUGUGGCGAAAAGCGGCUCACUGGACCAUAACUGACGCUGAUGCACGAAAGCUAGGGGGAGCAAACAGG